This 429-nucleotide ribosomal RNA is filed under the name Bacillota bacterium. Its description in RNAcentral is "Firmicutes bacterium partial 16S ribosomal RNA". It matches the Rfam family "Bacterial small subunit ribosomal RNA", at positions 355 to 776 of the family's 1533-position model. Lineage: Bacteria; Bacillati; Bacillota. The record is from RNAcentral.
UGGGGAAUAUUGCACAAUGGGCGCAAGCCUGAUGCAGCCAUGCCGCGUGUAUGAAGAAGGCCUUCGGGUUGUAAAGUACUUUCAGCGGGGAGGAAGGGAGUAUAGUUAAUACCUUUGCUCAUUGACGUUACCCGCAGAAGAAGCACCGGCUAACUCCGUGCCAGCAGCCGCGGUAAUACGGAGGGUGCAAGCGUUAAUCGGAAUUACUGGGCGUAAAGCGCACGCAGGCGGUUUGUUAAGUCAGAUGUGAAAUCCCCGGGCUCAACCUGGGAACUGCAUCUGAUACUGGCAAGCUUGAGUCUCGUAGAGGGGGGUAGAAUUCCAGGUGUAGCGGUGAAAUGCGUAGAGAUCUGGAGGAAUACCGGUGGCGAGGGCGGCCCCCGGGACGAAGACUGACGCUCAGGUGCGAAAGCGUGGGGAGCAAACAGG